AACUUUUCAACCAAUUCAAAGAGAUUUUGCAAUUUUGUUGUGGUUAAAAUUGCUGCACACGGUGAACACUGUCGGCCCACAUUGGCUUCACGAAGUAUAUAACAUGAUAUAAAGGGUUAUUGACAUCAUGAAUCAACAGAACUUCUGGUUUGUAUGAAACAGUAUGGAACAGCCUCAACAUACUCAAUAAUACUUGGUCCCCAUUUCUAUAUUCAGAUUUAUAGUAUAUACAAACACAAA
Haliotis rubra (blacklip abalone) is the source of this 240-nucleotide long non-coding RNA. RefSeq lists it as uncharacterized. The record is from RefSeq and is a predicted model, not a curated record. The transcript is spliced from 2 exons. NCBI's taxonomy places the organism in Eukaryota, Metazoa, Mollusca, Gastropoda, Lepetellida, Haliotidae.